GAUGAACGCUGGCGGCGUGCCUAAUACAUGCAAGUCGAGCGAACGGACGAGAAGUUUGCGGCUCGGAUGUUAGCGGAGGACGGGUGAGUAACACGUGGAUAACCCACCUAUAAGACUGGUAUAACUUCGGGAAACCGGAGCUUAUACCGUAGAAUAUUUUGAACCGUAUGGUUCAAUAGUGAAAGUCGGUCUUGCUGUCACGUAUAGCUGGUUCCGCGCUGCAUUAGCUAGUUGGUAAGGUAACGGCUUACCAAGGCAACGAUGCGUAGCCGACCUGCGAGAGUGAUAGGCCACAUGGGAGGUGGGACGCGCUCCUGGGUCCUACGGGACGCACCAGUAGCCAAUCUUACGCAAUAGGCGAAAGCCUGGCGGAGCAACGCCACGUCUGUGAUGACGGUCUUCGGUUCGUGAAGCUGUGUUAUUAGGGAUGAACAUAUUUGUAAGUAGCUGUGCACUGAGUGACGGUAACUAGUCAAAAAGCAACGGCUAACUACGUG
This 497-nucleotide ribosomal RNA is filed under the name uncultured bacterium. RNAcentral describes it as "partial 16S ribosomal RNA". It matches the Rfam family "Bacterial small subunit ribosomal RNA", at positions 28 to 507 of the family's 1533-position model. The record is from RNAcentral.